GGGGGGAAGCCGGAUCUUGGGCUGUUUCCCGGCGCCCUGUGCUCCCUGUCUGUGCUGUUGGAUUCGUGCUACCGGCCCGCAGCCCCCU
This 88-nucleotide microRNA precursor is filed under the name Canis lupus familiaris (dog). RNAcentral describes it as "mir-8799 microRNA precursor family". It matches the Rfam family "mir-8799 microRNA precursor family". Lineage: Eukaryota; Metazoa; Chordata; Mammalia; Carnivora; Canidae. The record is from Rfam by way of RNAcentral. RNAcentral also lists the same sequence under 1 other name.